This 466-nucleotide ribosomal RNA is filed under the name uncultured bacterium. RNAcentral describes it as "partial 16S ribosomal RNA". It matches the Rfam family "Bacterial small subunit ribosomal RNA", at positions 28 to 507 of the family's 1533-position model. The record is from RNAcentral.
GAUGAACGCUGGCGGCGUGCUUAACACAUGCAAGUCGAACGAUGAAGCCCAGCUUGCUGGGUGGAUUAGUGGCGAACGGGUGAGUAACACGUGAGUAACCUGCCCUUGACUCUGGGAUAAGCCCGGGAAACUGGGUCUAAUACCGGAUAGGAGCGCCUGUCGCAUGACGGGUGUUGGAAAGAUUUUUCGGUCAUGGAUGGACUCGCGGCCUAUCACCUUGUUGGUGAGGUAAUGGCUCACCAAGGCGACGACGGGUAGCCGGCCUGAGAGGGUGACCGGCCACACUGGGACUGAGACACGGCCCAGACUCCUACGGGAGGCAGCAGUGGGGAAUAUUGCACAAUGGGCGGAAGCCUGAUGCAGCGACGCCGCGUGAGGGAUGACGGCCUUCGGGUUGUAAACCUCUUUCAGUAGGGAAGAAGCGAAAGUGACGGUACCUGCAGAAGAAGCACCGGCUAACUACGUG